CAGCCGCCGCGGGAACACGAAGGGUGCAAGCGUUACUCGGAAUUACUGGGCGUAAAGCGUGCGUAGGUGGUGGUUUAAGUCCGUUGUGAAAGCCCUGGGCUCAACCUGGGAAUUGCAGUGGAUACUGGGUCACUAGAGUGUGGUAGAGGAUAGUGGAAUUUCCGGUGUAGCAGUGAAAUGCGUAGAGAUCGGAAGGAACAUCUGUGGCGAAGGCGACUAUCUGGGCCAACACUGACACUGAGGCACGAAAGCUUGGGGAGCAAACAGGAUUAGAUACCCCGGUAGUCCCUGUCUCUUAUAC
RNAcentral lists this ribosomal RNA (301 nucleotides) under uncultured bacterium. RNAcentral's name for it is "partial 16S ribosomal RNA". It matches the Rfam family "Bacterial small subunit ribosomal RNA", at positions 509 to 807 of the family's 1533-position model. The record is from RNAcentral.